Molecule: ribosomal RNA, 253 nt
Filed under: uncultured bacterium
Lineage: Bacteria
Description: partial 16S ribosomal RNA
Rfam family: Bacterial small subunit ribosomal RNA
Source: RNAcentral
UACGUAGGGUGCGAGCGUUGUCCGGAAUUAUUGGGCGUAAAGAGCUCGUAGGCGGUUCGUCGCGUCGGCUGUGAAAACCCGGAGCUCAACUCCGGGCCUGCAGUCGAUACGGGCGGACUCGAGUUCGGCAGGGGAGACUGGAAUUCCUGGUGUAGCGGUGAAAUGCGCAGAUAUCAGGAGGAACACCGGUGGCGAAGGCGGCGCGCUGGACCACUACUGACGCUGAGGAACGAAAGCUAGGGGAGCAAACAGG